AUGGCGGGGCCCCAGGUGAGGCCGGGGCUCCUGGGCUUCCCAGUCUGGCCUCUAGUCCUUUGCCUUCCCUUUCUUGGCUUUGGCCUUGGCUUUGGUCUUGGGGGUGCAGGGCUUGGUCACGCGGAUGGUCUCCUGGCACUGGGCAUUGUACCGAGCCUUCUUCAGGGUGCCUUGGCGGGCUUUGCUGCUGGGGGUGCAGGGGCCCCAGGUCCACUCGGCGCACUUGCUGCCCGGGCCGCCCUUCACCUUGUCUUUCUUUUUGGCCACCGCGGAGGUGAGCGCCAGCAGGGUGAGAAGGGUGAGGAGGAGGACGCCUCGGUGCUGCAUCUCCCUCCCGCGCCGGGCCCGUCCCGCUCAUCAGCAUUCUUAAUCUUCCUCGUUUUCUCUCUUUUUCUUCUCUCUUUCCCUGUCUUCAUGCAGACCAUAAAUAAUAGAAAAGUUGGCUGUAAUUCUAAAAAUGAGAGAUCCCAUUGGAGUUAAAUAUUGAUAUUUGAGAACUCUGUGUCUUAUAAAACCAGAACGUCUGAGGGUCAAUUUUACAUAAACAUGGAGAUUGUAUAUAUUUAUAUCUAGCACAGCCUACUGUGGCAUUACACAGGUCCACAAGUUGCCCAACAGAGACCAUUAAUAGAAGGUUGUUGGGAUGGUGCAAAUUCACCAUCUAUCAGACCAGAUGAUGGUGAAAACAAGAUUGAGGUAUUGAGAAACUUGAGAUGGUUCUGAACUAAUCCAUAGGCAUGAUGUACUGAUAGAAAUGACUAUCAAAAAUAUUCCCACAAGGGUGGGCAUUUGGUACAGCAGCAGCAGUCUCUGCUGGGGACACCAGCACCCCUUUGUGGGGUGCCUGGUUUGAGUCCAGCUCCUCCACUUCCAGUCCAGCUCCCUGCUAAUGCACACCUUAGAAGGCAGCAGAUGAUGCUUCAUGUACUGGGUCCCUGCCAACCAUGUCGGGGACCCAGAUUGAGUUUCAGGAUCCUGGCUCCAUUCUGGCCCAGCUCUGGAGGAGGGAACCAGUAUAUAAAAAAUCUUUACGUCUCUGUGUGUGUGUCUCUCUGCCUUUCAAACAAAAAAUGGAAAUUAAAAGAAAUAUUGCUUCUAAAAUAUAAAAUGAUGAGAAUCCUCAAAACAGUAAAAAGGAAAUGACUAGUAUGAAGUACAAGAGAAGCAAAUGCAAAUAUUCAAUUCUGAUUCUGAUACCUUUGUAUUACUGUUAUCCUGUCCCAAACCUCUCCUAUUCCUAAAGUGGCUCUAUAAACCUUAGGCUGAGAUAACCAUUACUAUAAUUGCCUUGGGCAUUACUAUAAAUAAUACUCUUUGCAAAAAGUAGGAAAUUAUUCAAGGAAUUAUGUGUUCAAGAUGAGACUUGUGACCUUCCCAUUAGACAACAGACUCUCAUUCAGCCUUCUUUGUAGACCUGCUACACGCCUUCAUUGUCUGUGGGUGCUGCAACUACAUCUAAUGACUGUCAGUUUAAUGAAAUCAUCAGUACUUGCAUCAGGAAUAGGAGCUCAACCACAGCUACUCUAGAAGUGAAGGUGGGGAAAAAGGAAGUGGUUUUGAAUGUCCAGAAAUCAGCAGAGUUUUUAUUUAACAGCUAUGUUGUAUGCAAGGCCAUGUAAUAGACACUUGGUAGAACAAUAAAGGGAGUCCGAUAGAGACUAGAGCCA
This 1667-nucleotide long non-coding RNA is filed under the name Oryctolagus cuniculus (rabbit). RNAcentral describes it as "lncRNA (ENSOCUG00000037529.1)". The record is from RNAcentral. Lineage: Eukaryota; Metazoa; Chordata; Mammalia; Lagomorpha; Leporidae.